GCUCUAGAUCAAACUCAUCUGAGUGUUUUCUUCCUCUCCAGUGAAUGGAUUUCAUGGCAAUGGCAAUCCGCUGCAUCAGAGUGAGCCGUCGCAUGUACUGAUGCGGAAGACCAGCACAGAUCAUCAGAGUCCCGUCUCGACUUCACCCAGCCGGAAGCAGGAGUGUGAAUCCACAGUAACUGCCGCUGGAACGUGUUAACCAACAGGGUUUUUCAAACUAUUCAGUGCUAAGGACCCGUAAAUAUGACCAUUCCCUUGCAAGGAAACCCUUUCCUAUAAUAUACAGGCAGCUAUAGAUUUUCAUUUAUGAAAACGGCCUUAUACUGUUUGAGAAAAAUAUGAUAUUAAAGACAAC
RNAcentral lists this long non-coding RNA (355 nucleotides) under Sinocyclocheilus grahami. Its description in RNAcentral is "lncRNA (ENSSGRG00000041288.1)". The record is from RNAcentral. Lineage: Eukaryota; Metazoa; Chordata; Actinopteri; Cypriniformes; Cyprinidae.